AAUAGAUACCCUGGUAGUCCACGCCGUAAACGUUGGGCGCUAGAUGUGGGGGACCUUUCCACGGUUUCCGUGUCGUAGCUAACGCAUUAAGCGCCCCGCCUGGGGAGUACGGCCGCAAGGCUAAAACUCAAAGGAAUUGACGGGGGCCCGCACAAGCGGCGGAGCAUGCGGAUUAAUUCGAUGCAACGCGAAGAACCUUACCAAGGCUUGACAUACACGAGAACGGGCCAGAAAUGGUCAACUCUUUGGACACUCGUGAACAGGUGGUGCAUGGUUGUCGUCAGCUCGUGUCGUGAGAUGUUGGGUUAAGUCCCGCAACGAGCGCAACCCUCGUCGCAUGUUGCCAGCACGUUAUGGUGGGGACUCAUGUGAGACUGCCGGGGUCAACUCGGAGGAAGGUGGGGAUGACGUCAAAUCAUCAUGCCCCUUAUGUCUUGGGCUUCACGCAUGCUACAAUGGCCGGUACAAAGGGCUGCGAUGUCGUAAGGCGGAGCGAAUCCCAAAAAGCCGGUCUCAGUUCGGAUUGAGGUCUGCAAC
RNAcentral lists this ribosomal RNA (537 nucleotides) under uncultured bacterium. RNAcentral's name for it is "bacterial SSU rRNA". It matches the Rfam family "Bacterial small subunit ribosomal RNA", at positions 777 to 1311 of the family's 1533-position model. The record is from RNAcentral.